Puntigrus tetrazona (Sumatra barb) is the source of this 635-nucleotide long non-coding RNA. RefSeq lists it as uncharacterized. NCBI's taxonomy places the organism in Eukaryota, Metazoa, Chordata, Actinopteri, Cypriniformes, Cyprinidae. The transcript has 2 exons. The record is from RefSeq and is a predicted model, not a curated record.
ACGCACAUGCUCUGCUCACUCAAGUCUCCAUUCACAAGGGGACAGGGAUGAUCACUAUGAUUUUGAAAAUGACCAUGAAUCGUAUGAUACACCCCUAUUUAAUAUACAUGCAAUGGGAUUUCGGGACGAAUCUAUUUUCUGGCUGGCUAUUCAAAGUCAGACCAGCAGAAGCUGAGAGAUCAGCAAACGCUCAUUGGACAAAUCAGUCAGUAAUUGUAUUGUUUAUUCACUAUCGCAUAAUCCGAAAUCGAGUUUGACGGUCGAUGACAUAUCCGCAUGAAUAUUCAGAAGUAUUUCCAUGUAAAUGUACUCGGAGAGAAGCGAAGAGACAGACAGAUGUACACAUGCACACUUCUCUGCAGCAGUAUCAGACAGGUGCUGUAACUUCACAACCCUGCCACCGAAUUUUAACCUCACAAAAGACACCGGGCACCGUCGCAUGUUUUAGUGCAUAUUCAGCAUGAAAAAUACAUUUGUGUUUUUAAGAACAAAAUCAUCAAGACAUUUUCCUCUUCAAACUGGAGAGGACGCCGGUGCUAUCACGGAUUAUGGACCCAUAUUUUGGUCAGAUGUGACGGUUUAAAGUUCAAAUAAAUUUAAUGAAUAUAUUUCCUUGCAAACAGCUUUUCAAAGUA